CAGUAGCCGCGGUAAUACAGAGGGUGCGAGCGUUAAUCGGAUUUACUGGGCGUAAAGCGUGCGUAGGCGGCUUCUUAAGUCGGAUGUGAAAUCCCUGAGCUUAACUUAGGAAUUGCAUUCGAUACUGGGAAGCUAGAGUAUGGGAGAGGAUGGUAGAAUUCCAGGUGUAGCGGUGAAAUGCGUAGAGAUCUGGAGGAAUACCGAUGGCGAAGGCAGCCAUCUGGCCUAAUACUGACGCUGAGGUACGAAAGCAUGGUGAGCAAACAGGAUUAGAUACCCCCGUAGUCCCUGUCUCUUAUAC
Molecule: ribosomal RNA, 301 nt
Filed under: uncultured bacterium
Lineage: Bacteria
Description: partial 16S ribosomal RNA
Rfam family: Bacterial small subunit ribosomal RNA
Source: RNAcentral